AUUGAACGCUGGCGGCAGGCCUAACACAUGCAAGUCGAGCGGAUGAAGGGAGCUUGCUCCUGGAUUCAGCGGCGGACGGGUGAGUAAUGCCUAGGAAUCUGCCUGGUAGUGGGGGAUAACGUCCGGAAACGGGCGCUAAUACCGCAUACGUCCUGAGGGAGAAAGUGGGGGAUCUUCGGACCUCACGCUAUCAGAUGAGCCUAGGUCGGAUUAGCUAGUUGGUGGGGUAAAGGCCUACCAAGGCGACGAUCCGUAACUGGUCUGAGAGGAUGAUCAGUCAACCGGGAAAUGAGAAACGGUCCAAACCCCAAGGGGGGGCAGGAGGGGGAAAUUUUGGAAAAGGGGGGAAAGCCUAACCCAGCCAGGCGGGGGGUGUAAAAAAGGUUUUGGGUUUGUAAAGCCUUUUAAGUUGGGAGGAAGGGCAGUAAGUUAAUACCUUGCUUUUUUGACGUUACCAACAAAAAAAGCCCCGGCAAAUUUCGU
This 483-nucleotide ribosomal RNA is filed under the name uncultured bacterium. Its description in RNAcentral is "partial 16S ribosomal RNA". It matches the Rfam family "Bacterial small subunit ribosomal RNA", at positions 30 to 506 of the family's 1533-position model. The record is from RNAcentral.